GGAAAACUUCCACGUGACCUCAGCGAGCGGCAAGAAAAGAAUUGGGCGCCCAAGCCUAUGAAUGCGGGAACUUUUCCAGCCAGCGGAAAGGUUGACGCAGGACUGGUACCAACUCCCGACUUGAUUGACGAAGAAUCAAUCGGUGCGAUCUCCGCUUCCCAACGCCAGAGGUACGAAUUGACUAACUAGCUUAGUCGCUUCUGACCAAGAAGAAGGGUUAAGUGAAAGCAAAGACCAAAACAUCCGAGGGCAUCUGAUGCAGCUAAAAGCCUAGGUAUCCUUUUAUAUUACGCAACGGCAUCUGAUGACACGAGAAGAAAACUCAAAGCACUCUUUUCCAUGUGAAUAUACAUAAUAGCAUCGAGGGAUCUGCUCUUAUUGCUAGCUCCUUUUUGCCUGGCUGGACGUAGCUUUAUGCUCUUGAAUUUUCCUAUCACUUCCUUUUGAAUAAACUAAUAAUCUCUUUUUUCGAUUCCGC
Molecule: unclassified non-coding RNA, 478 nt
Filed under: Hevea brasiliensis (rubber tree)
Lineage: Eukaryota; Viridiplantae; Streptophyta; Magnoliopsida; Malpighiales; Euphorbiaceae
Source: RNAcentral